This 354-nucleotide ribosomal RNA is filed under the name bacterium LimB-1-J-67. Its description in RNAcentral is "bacterial SSU rRNA". It matches the Rfam family "Bacterial small subunit ribosomal RNA", at positions 289 to 635 of the family's 1533-position model. The record is from RNAcentral.
GGUUUGAGAGGAUGAUCCCCCACACUGGGACUGAGACACGGCCCAGACUCCUACGGGAGGCAGCAGUGGGGAAUUUUGGACAAUGGGCGCAAGCCUGAUCCAGCCAUGCCGCGUGUCUGAAGAAGGCCUUCGGGUUGUAAAGGACUUUUGUCCGGGAGCAAAUCCCAGUGGUUAAUACCUACUGGGGCUGAGAGUACCGGAAGAAUAAGCACCGGCUAACUACGUGCCAGCAGCCGCGGUAAUACGUAGGGUGCAAGCGUUAAUCGGAAUUACUGGGCGUAAAGCGUGCGCAGGCGGUUGUGCAAGUCUGAUGUGAAAGCCCCGGGCUUAACCUGGGAACGGCAUUGGAGACUG